UCCACGUGCUCCCUGGUGGAAAACCUUCCCAGGGUAUGAAAGAGGAAUUCUAUAAAUCGGGUACCUGGGACAGACCCACUGGCCAGCAAGUCCUUCUCGCUAGAGCUGCAACUUGGAGAAGACGGGGCCGGCCCUCCCCUCCCA
Ceratotherium simum simum (southern white rhinoceros) is the source of this 144-nucleotide non-coding RNA. NCBI's taxonomy places the organism in Eukaryota, Metazoa, Chordata, Mammalia, Perissodactyla, Rhinocerotidae. The record is from RefSeq and is a predicted model, not a curated record.